AGCGUAGACGGCAAGGCAAGUCUGAUGUGAAAACCCAGGGCUUAACCCUGGGACUGCAUUGGAAACUGUCUGGCUCGAGUGCCGGAGAGGUAAGCGGAAUUCCUAGUGUAGCGGUGAAAUGCGUAGAUAUUAGGAAGAACACCAGUGGCGAAGGCGGCUUUCUGGACUGUAACUGACGCUGAGGCUCGAAAGCUAGGGUAGCGAACG
Molecule: ribosomal RNA, 207 nt
Filed under: uncultured bacterium
Lineage: Bacteria
Description: partial 16S ribosomal RNA
Rfam family: Bacterial small subunit ribosomal RNA
Source: RNAcentral